This is a long non-coding RNA of Quercus lobata, 618 nucleotides long. RefSeq lists it as uncharacterized. The transcript is spliced from 2 exons. The record is from RefSeq and is a predicted model, not a curated record. NCBI's taxonomy places the organism in Eukaryota, Viridiplantae, Streptophyta, Magnoliopsida, Fagales, Fagaceae.
UGUUCUAAAAUAUCCCUACAGCCUUAGUUUAACUAGGGGCAAAAUUUUGUAAAAAUACUUCUUUAACUUCUACGUAAAACACUAUCUACAAAAUAGGACCGCACUCCCGAUAUACUCAUGCUGAGUUUCAAACUCAAAUUACUUCUUCUUUAGUUCUCAAAUUCUCUCAAUUCAGGGUUAAUAUUCUUUUCUCCAUUAUCAUCAUUUUUUCUAUUUGCUAUGCUCAAAUUUGCUCUUGCUCAAUGGUAUGUGUAUGUCAAUGUACAUAGGUUUUUCUAUUUUGGUUUUCUAAUUCAUGAACGACUUCUUAUAUUCUAGAAACUAAUCAAAUAUUUGUUUAAAAUAGCCCUUCUAUUUCAACCUCACCUUUAAUUUCUUUCAUAUAUUUCUUCAAGGAAUGUGUUAUUGGGUAAUUUCUUUCACAUAUUUCUUCAAGGAACGCGUGAUCAUUUAAAUCAAGAAGAAGGAAAAAAAUGCCACAGGCACGUAGCCAUGCAAAGGCUUACUGUGGUGGAAACACGUGCCCAUUGCUCCAUCCUCUAAAACACCCCUUUCCCUUCCACAAAAAAGCCUCCGUCUGCUUCAAAUAUCAAAUAGCUUUUGACCACCACGUUCACA